Molecule: long non-coding RNA, 372 nt
Filed under: Hordeum vulgare
Lineage: Eukaryota; Viridiplantae; Streptophyta; Magnoliopsida; Poales; Poaceae
Description: long non-coding RNA (HVUL_LNC019543)
Source: RNAcentral
GCGAGAUCGACCAGUCCGACCAGAGCUUCCUCGACGACGACCAGAUGGAGGCAGGGUGGGUGCUCACCUGCCACGCCUACCCCAAGUCCGACAUCGUCAUCGAGACCCACAAGGAGGAGGAGCUCACCGCAUAAGCUGCUUACCCUGCCUCUCUUUGCAACAAGAUCGAGCUGAUAUCAUAUUAUCUCCCAUCAUGCAUGCAUGCAUGGAUAUCGCCAGAUACACCGAUUUGUUUGUGCUCGAAUGAAUUGCUCGAUGCAUGGUUUGCUCCAGUAAUAAUGUCUUCGAAUUACUACCUUUUUGUACCGUAAGAUAUACUACUGUCGUAAUACUAGCGUGUACUUAAUUCAACGUACUGAAAUGAAUCCUGAU